CCCUUAGAUGUUCUGGGCCGCACGCGCGCUACACUGAUGCAUUCAACGAGUUUCUUCCUGGUCCGAGAGGAAUGGGUAACCUUUUGAAAGUGCAUCGUGAUAGGGAUAGACUAUUGCAAUUAUUGGUCUUCAACGAGGAGUUCCUAGUAGACGUAGUUCAUCAGACUGCAUCGAUUACGUCCCUGCCCUUUGUACACACCGCCCGUCGCUCCUACCGAUUGAAUGCUCAGGUGAGCCAUUCGGACUUUCAUCAUGCUGGUUUCCAGUUUUGAUGAAGGAAAGUCUUGCGAACCUUAUCAUUUAGAGGAAGGAGAAGUCGUAACA
RNAcentral lists this ribosomal RNA (324 nucleotides) under uncultured eukaryote. RNAcentral describes it as "partial 18S ribosomal RNA". It matches the Rfam family "Eukaryotic small subunit ribosomal RNA", at positions 1470 to 1796 of the family's 1831-position model. The record is from RNAcentral.